NNNNNNNNNNNNNNNNNNNNNNNNNNNCACCCCAUCCCCACUCCCCCCCACACCCCAUCCCACCCCAGCCAGGGGCUGUGCCGUGCUCACACAUCCGCUGGGGAUGGAUGCAGGGCACCGAACGCCACGGCUGGGUCGCUUUGUCCCCUUCCUCUCACCAAGGCCAGCGGGGACGGGUGCGGGUGCCCGGUGCGGCCCGGUGGGUGCCCAGCGCGAGUGCCUGUGCAGGCGCCCGCCCCCGGUUCGGUUCAGCCUUGCUGUGACUCAGCCGGCGCCAGCUCAGCGGCACGAGGAGCAGGACAGCCGUGGAAGCAGCCGCUCGUGGAGCCCCGUGGCACCAUCGGCACGGCCCCGGGUCCAGCUCCUGCCACCACCCUGCUGCCCCAGCGCAUCCCAGUGCCUCGAACCCAGCGUCUCUGGCCAGCGAGCCCAGCGCGGCUCCUGCGGUCGCGUGGCAGAGCCGGAGCUGGCACGGCGCGAGUGACAGCGGGGCCACCGCAUCAUGCCCGGGGGACAGCGGCACGGGGAGGGGGCAGCUGGUCCAGCCUGGGGCGCCAGAGCAGACGUGGCCCCCUGGGAUGUGUAGAUGCCACCGCAGCUUCGAGAGCGCCCAAAUGUCACCCAAGGGUGCCUGGCACAAUGCAAGGCCAGCACAGGGGUUGCUCAGCUGCUUUGAGGACCAGGCAGGGCAGAUGGGGGGACAUGGGGGCGUCCCCCAGCUGCACCGAGGCAGUGCGUGGGGACGUGGCCUGCGCAGAGCCAGGGGGGAGCAGAGCCCCCGGGGGACUGCUGGGCAGGGCAGUGGGGGGGUCACGGGGAUGCUGGUGCCACAAGGCACUGAAAGCAAAGCGAGUGGUGGGGGGGGCAGCUGCCCCCUGCCCCGCCGUGCAGAUCAGGUCAGAGCUGCUCCGGAGCAGCGAGCGCGGAGGCUGGGGCGCAGCGAGCUGGCUCCAGCUGACGGAGGAAUGUUUAUUCGCCGAGAAGUCUGUAAUUUUUCCAGCCCUGUAUCUAUUUGCGGCAACGUGACAUGUGCAGCGUGGUGUUCUUUGCAGGCUUGAAGUCUUGUAAAAAAUUAAUUGUGUACGCAAAAAAAAAAAUUUGGCUUUAAAAUAUUAAAACCCAUAGUGGGGAAGCGAGAGCCCCGUGCACGCAGCCCGCGGUCCCCGUGGGGGGCUCAGGGGCCGGGGCAGGCCCAUCCCAGCACGGACCCAUUGGGAUGUCCCUUUGGGGGGGGUCCCUGCAGCCGGCUGCUGGCCGGGGGGUGCCGGUGACCGGGACCCCCUGGGGGCUGUGGGGCCGCAGGCUGGGAGCUGCCC
This 1316-nucleotide long non-coding RNA is filed under the name Anser cygnoides (Swan goose). RNAcentral describes it as "lncRNA (ENSACDG00005015146.1)". The record is from RNAcentral. Lineage: Eukaryota; Metazoa; Chordata; Aves; Anseriformes; Anatidae.